Long non-coding RNA from Dama dama (fallow deer), 488 nucleotides. RefSeq lists it as uncharacterized. The transcript is spliced from 4 exons. The record is from RefSeq and is a predicted model, not a curated record. Lineage: Eukaryota; Metazoa; Chordata; Mammalia; Artiodactyla; Cervidae.
GGCGGCCGCCGCGUCCCGGCCUCGAACUCGCCUCCCCGGCUCCCGCGCCGCCUGAGGGGCCGGCGUCCCGCUUCAGGACCCUUACUGUGUCUGAGGUUGACUGAAUGUUAACAUAUUAAUAAAGGCUAAUGUUUUUUGCGUGCUUACUACUCGCCAGGCACUGAUCCAAGUGCUUUCCUGGAUGAAAGUGUGAGACAUGUGCAACAAGGUAUGUUGCAUGACAACCCUCCCAGGUGGAUUCUUUACCACUGAGCCACCUACUGGAAGACAGAAGAACACAGGCAGGGUCUAAUUUCUUUUUGAGCAAGAGAGACAGAGCGAGAAAGAGAAACAUGAAGAUAAUGGAUCUUGAAGAAGGGUGCCAUCAAGUGGGGAAAAUGGCAAAAGAAUGGCAAAAACAUUGACCAUGAAUUUCAUCUACUUUACAGUUUACUUGGGACUGAAAUGUUGUCUCCAUUUAAAAAAAAAAAAAUAAUCCAUCCUAGUAG